RNAcentral lists this long non-coding RNA (3005 nucleotides) under Heterocephalus glaber (naked mole-rat). RNAcentral's name for it is "lncRNA (ENSHGLG00000048351.1)". Lineage: Eukaryota; Metazoa; Chordata; Mammalia; Rodentia; Bathyergidae. The record is from RNAcentral.
GUGGAGGCUCCCGGGCAGGUCCCGGCCCAGGUCCCUGACGAGUGGACGUUGUUCUGGACCCAGGGACUCCGGCUUUUCCCCAUAUCCCCGGACCAGAGCCGGCGCACAGCACUCGGGCUGGGGCUGCGCUGGGCCAGGAGGCGACGCGUCCCCCCGCGGGACCGGUAGGACGCACGUGGCCUCCCUGUGAGGACCCAGGCCAGCGCCAGGGCCCUCCCCAGUCGCUCAGCUUGGGUCUCCAGGCCUCUGCCCUCCCUCCUAGGGCCGGCAGGGGCAGGCUAUGGGCAUGGGCGACACCUCCCCAGAAAGCUCCUCCUUGCUUCAGAGGCUCUGCCUGUGCGGCCCGGGAGGGGGGAGGGGCGAUGCACCCCAACACCAAGCACCAAUGCGGGAGACCAGAGCAGCCACCCAGAGGCUUCCUCGGGCACAUGGAGCGUCAGGGGUGGCUCUUCGCAGGAGCUGUGAGGUGGACUAGCUCUGACGAGUGUCCCCACUGGAGACCAGCUGCCCCUGAUGCUUCUUCCCGGGGCCUCCUGCUCCGCCUCCCACCGGUCACCUCCACCAGCAGCCCGGCCACAAACCUGCAUGGCACACUGGUCCUCUCUGCGGCUGGGCGUGCUCUGCAAGGCACCAGCGUCUGGCUGUUUGAGUCUUACAGUUUUGAGGGCCUCUUGUCCAGAAGUGAACCCUUGUGUCUGCCUGUGCACCAGGCACAGGAGACACAGAAGAGAUUCACAGAAAGAAUCGCUCAGCUUUGGCGGCAACAAGUCCCACCAUCUGCCCUGCACAAGCUGCAGUCCCAGGACAGCCUGAGGGUCUCAUGAUGUAGUCCAGCCUGGCAAUGAACUCUCUGCAAUCCUCCUGCCUCACCCUCCUGAGUGCUGAGGUUACAGGCGUGUGCCACCACGUCCAGCUGGACAGCUACUUUAAAAACAGCAUUUCCACUGAAUGGAGGGGAGGACACUCAGCUUUCCUUGGCAUGGCAGCUUCUAGCUCUGACACCUGGAACCUCCUCUUGAGGACACUGAAGUGGGAUUUUGGGGGAUGCCUGAUGCGCUGGUGCAGUGCUCCUGGAGUUCCCCACAGCUCCGGCUAGACCAGGGGUCACCCGCUCAAUGGCAGACAAGGAGGAAGCCACCUCCCAGUCCCAGCUUAUGCACCCCGGCUUAAGACAUCCCUCGGUGCCACCCCAGGUCCUGGCCAACAGGAAAACCCGAGUGGCCGGGAUGCAGAAGGGACAGGAAGGGCUCCACUUAGGACUGCAGGGGAAACACCAGAACUGCACAGUGUUUGCAAGAUGCCCUGGCCAGGUGCACUCCCUCCCAGGCUGCAGGGUCCAGCUUUGUCAGCUAUCUGGCAAACAAGGUGUGAUCUAGAUACGCAGAGAACGUUCAAAUUUUUUAAAUUUACUAUAGUAACACAUGGCCAUGUGUCUUCCCCACAACACAACCACUUACUUCAAACACACUCAUCCCAUCAUCCUGGCCACUUCCUGCAGCAGCUCUGGAGCCCUCUCUCCUGAGUGUCUUUAGUUGCAAUGCUCUGGCUGCCUCAACGUCCUGAAUGGAUUCAAAACAUUUCCUUUUCAUGGUCAUUUUGACUUUGGGGAAGAGCCAGAAGUCGCAUGGUGCCAGAUCCCAUGGACAGGUGGCUGAGGACACAGCGUCAAUUUUUUAUGAGCUACCUUUCUGUUGGAUGGCACCAGGCAGCAGUAUUCACCACAUUUUUUUUUAUUGUGCCUCGUAAAGACAUAGCAGGGGAAGAGGACAAAAUUCAUCAAUGUCAAUAUCAAUCCGUGUGGUCCCCAACUAAACUUUUCAGCUCAUCAUCUGUCAGCAUCGUGAUGUGCAGAGAAGACACAUCCAGCAGCCUUGGAGUCUGGGGUUUGGAUCUUUUCCCUGCUGGCGGCAGAAAGGACACUCCCCCGUCUGGAAGCUGGUGACCGUAGUGACCACAAUGAGGAGGGAUGUGGUGUGUGGUCCGCCUGGGCUCUGCUGCUGAGCCAGGAUGUGGGCGGGCGGGUGGACAGGCUGAGUGUGUUCUUGACUUGUGACAUUUUCAAGGCACAGUGAGCUUACGGGGCUGGGACCCGCGGCCCACGCAGGAGCGCCUGUGUGUGUUGCUCAAUACACUGCAGGGGCUGCAGGGUGGACACAGUGUUCAGGGAGACCAUGAGCCUGCUGGGAUUUCUGACUGCCUAGGAUCUCUGACUCCCACACUUUCCAAAUGGCUGGGACUGGGUCCCGAUGUCUGCUGGAUGCAAUUGAAAAUGGUAAAGAACGGGCUUGAUUCCCUAUGUGAAUGAUUAUGUGUGCGGUAGAAGUGUUUAAAUCGCAGGUUUUAAGGGCUGAGGUUGUAGCUAGCAGUCCAGUGCUUGCCCUGGGUUCAGUCCCCAGGAGCGGGGGCUGGCCUGGAUUAGCACCUGCCCCCCCCAAAACAGACCCGAAGGUGGAGCUCUCAGCCCUGGCACCAGAGCACACACCAGGCCUCUCAAGUCUCAGGGACACCUGGCCACACCCUGGCCACUCGGGUCAGCAUCCAGGGGCCACCAGGGCAUCGAGAGGGCUCUAAGCUCCCAGGUGAGCCACACCAGGGAGCAACCAUGUGUUUGGGCUGUGUCACCAUGUAGAUUGAUGGCCCACAAAUGUAACUUCUAUCUUGAAAUGGACCCCAGAAGCCGGGAAUGCUGGCGCACUCCUGUAAGUCCAGUAUAUAAGAGGCUGAGACAGGAGGAUAGCCUCAAGUUUGAGGCCAGCCUGGGCAACUUGGUGAGUUCAAGGCCAGCCUGAACUGCAUAGUGAGACCCUGUCUCAAUAGAAAAGAAAAGAAUCAGAAAAAGGGAAAGGAAAUAAAAACAAUAGCACGUUGCUGAUUUACUGACAUUGAGAAGCCACCAGCACCCGAGUGUUCCCUGCCUGGCCAGUGACUCAAAGCCUCUCCGCCCCUGGAUAGAGACGAUGCCUCCCUCCGUUACAGGAAUGUAAAUCCAUAGAGAAUCUAACAAC